GUGCUCGAAAAUGUUAAAGUUCUUAUUUCAUGGUAUAACUUUGGUAUGCUUGGACCUAGAGUCUUCAAACUUGACAUGAAGGUUGGCCAGGAUUAACAGAUGACCACUGGUCAUUUCAAGGUCAUUCAUUUGAAGGUCAAGGUCACUGUGACCUUCAAUAUAAAAAAUGUUAAAGUUGUUAUAACUUUGGUAUGCUUGGACCUAGAGUCUUGAAACUUGACAUGAAGGUUGGCCAUAACUAGUUAGUAACCACUGGUCAUUUCAAGGUCAUUCAUUUGAAGGUCAAGGUCACUGACCUUGAAUGUAAAAAUGUUAAAGUUGUUAUAACUUUGGUAUGCUUGGACCUAGAGUCUUGAAACUUGACAUGAAGGUUGGCCAGAACUAGUAAGUAACCACUGGACAUUUCAAGGUCAUUCAUUUGAAGGUCAAGGUCACUGUGACCUUGAAUGUAAAAAUGUUAAAGUUCUUAUUUCAUGUUAUAACUUUGGUAUGCUUGUACCUAGAGUCUUCAAACUUGAAAUAAAGAUUGGCCAGUACUAGAAGAUGACCACUGGUCAUUUCAAUGUCAUUUGAAGGUCAAGGUCACUGUGACCUUAAAUGUUAAAAUGUUAAAAUUGUUAUAACUUUGGUAUGCUUGGACAUAGAGUCUUCAAACUUGACAUGAAGGUUUGCAAGCACACUUAGAUGACCACUGGUCAUUUCAAGGUCAUUCAUUCUAAGGUCAAGGUCACUGUGACCUUGAAUGUAAAAAUGUUAAAGUUCUUAUAACUUUGGUAGGUAAAAAUGUUAAAGUUCUUAUUCCAUGUUAUAACUUUGGUAUGCUUGUACCUAGAGUCUUAAAUGUUAUUGUUGUUCAUGUAUAUGCAUGCAUUCAAAACAUAACACAAGGUUUGCUCAUGCCUUGAAAAGUACUUACAUUUCAUUUUGACCUUUGAACAAUAUUUCAGUAAUUUAAGUAUUGCAUUGACAAAAACACGAAAGGUACUUUCCUGUCAUUUAAAUCAAAAAUCCGGCUUCAAUGCGGUCAUCUCCGACCGCGGAACUCUUGUUGAAUGAUAACUCAAGAACGCAUACGCCUAGGAUCAUGAAACUUCAUGGGUAGAUUGAUCAUGACUUGCAGAUGACCCCUAUUGAUUUUGAGGUCACUAGGUAAAAGGUCAAGGUCACGGUGACCCGAAAUAGUAAAAUGGUUUCCGGAUGAUAGCUCAAGAACGCAUACGCCUAGGAUCAUGAAACUUCAUGGGUAGAUUGAUCAUGACUCGCAGAUGACCCCUAUUGAUUUUGAGGUCACUAGGUCAAAGGUCAAGGUCACGGUGACCCGAAAUAGUAAAAUCGUUUUCGGAUGAUAACUCAAGAACGCAUACGCCUAGGAUCAUGAAACUUCAUAGGUAGAUUGAUCAUGACUUGCAGAUGACCCCUAUUGAUUUUGAGGUCACAAGGUCAAAGGUCAAGGUCACGGUGACCCGAAAUAGUAAAAUGAUUUUCGGAUGAUAACUCAAGAACGCUUUUGCCUAGGAUCAUGACACUUCAUAGGUACAUUGAUCUUGACCCGCAGAUGACCCCUAUUGAUUUUCAGGUCACUAGGUCAAAGGUCAAGGUCACAGUGACAAAAAUCGUAUUCACACAAUGGCUGCCACUACAACGGACAGCCCAUAUGGGGGGCAUGCAUGUUUUACAAACAGCCCUUGUUUCGAA
Molecule: long non-coding RNA, 1695 nt
Organism: Dreissena polymorpha
Lineage: Eukaryota; Metazoa; Mollusca; Bivalvia; Myida; Dreissenidae
Exons: 3
Source: RefSeq, a predicted model, not a curated record